CCCUUAGAUGUCCGGGGCUGCACGCGCGCUACACUGAAGGAAUCAGCGUGCUAAAACCAUUGUCGAAAGGCAUUGGUAAACCCAUUAAAAUCCUACGUGAUUGGGAUCGGGAAUUGCAAUUAUUUCCCUUGAACGAGGAAUUCCCAGUAAGUGUGGGUCAUAAGCUCGCGUUGAUUACGUCCCUGCCCUUUGUACACACCGCCCGUCGCUGCCCGGGACUGAGCCGUUUCGAGAAAAGCGGGGACUGCUGCUAUCGGGGCUUUCGGGCCUUGGCUUCGGUGGAAACCGCUUUAAUCGCAGUGGCUUGAACCGGGCAAAAGUCGUAACA
RNAcentral lists this ribosomal RNA (328 nucleotides) under uncultured eukaryote. RNAcentral describes it as "partial 18S ribosomal RNA". It matches the Rfam family "Eukaryotic small subunit ribosomal RNA", at positions 1470 to 1796 of the family's 1831-position model. The record is from RNAcentral.